Solea solea (common sole) is the source of this 1350-nucleotide long non-coding RNA. RefSeq lists it as uncharacterized. NCBI's taxonomy places the organism in Eukaryota, Metazoa, Chordata, Actinopteri, Pleuronectiformes, Soleidae. The transcript has 3 exons. The record is from RefSeq and is a predicted model, not a curated record.
CACCUUGAACACUUUAAUACUAAUUACUUCAAAAUAAUCAUAACCUGACCGACACAAACUGGAACCUAAUUACCCAUAUUAUUAACAUUAAUUUCGGCAGUGAUUCGUUUUAUUUUUCGACUUAUACUUGAUACCGAAAAGGUAUCCUAUUCCUAUUACCAUAGUAUGUUGCGUUACUUUACAAGCACGCAGCUCUCAUUCUUGUCGUUGUUGUAUAUUAAGUCUGUGAGUGACGCAGCUUGACAUGUUUCAGGCAGCAGCUGAAAGUGUAUUUAUGUUGAAAGCGACAUUGCUGCUAGCUAGCUUUACUUUUCCUCAUCGCCUGCGCUAUCUGCCGACGUUAAUGUGCUGCCAUCUAUCGCACUGGAGGAGAAGUACACCGAAAUUCAACCGAGCAGCAGACCAGAUAUCCAAUUCCAGAAACCACAGUGGAGUUUUGUGGUUUGAACACAUUUCAAAAGCAUCAACUGUAAACAUCAUGUUUGAACAUGAAGUCCAUCAUCGUCCAAAGGUCAGAGAGGUUUUUGUAUGGAGCUGCCAUUCGCUCAAACAGUCGAUAGUCGAACAGGGAGAGAUCCACUCGAGAGGAACCAUAGUCGAGUUUCCAUACCAGAAUAAACCAGUAUGUAAAACAAUCACAAUAGUCAGUAGGUUUGCAUUGAGUAAAGGGAACAGAGUUUUGUUUUUGUAGAACAUGUCAAAAACUAUACCAAAAAAAAGGCAUUCUGGGAAAUAUAUGAUGAUUUUUUUUUUUGUUAAUCGCGAAUUAGUUUCACUUGUUCAAAUGAGAACGUGGCAUUGAAUUCCAGUUAUUGCUGUAGAGUGAACUCAAAAUACAUAAAAACCUGCUCCAUCUGCAUGACCUUAUCCCUCGCUGUCAUUUCUCAUGUGUGUGUUUGACUGAAUGAGACGUUAAAAACGUGUCUGUCUCCUCCGUGGCCUGUGAAAAGGUCUUAUGAGGUAACUGCAGUUCUAGUUUCAGUAUCAUAUGGACUGCACAUAUGAGAUCUUUAAAAGCUACGGCAAUGAUGUACGGUGUAACAGUCUUUGCUUUCAUCAGAAGCCAGUCAGAUACAUUUAUCUGUGUGUGUGUGUGUGUGUUUGUGUCAUAGUUGGAUAACAGGUUAUUGUCAUGUUGUUCCCCACUUACUAAUCAAUGUUAUUGCUUUGGUGAUCCACACAUUCACGAUGUAGGGGCUGGGUCAUACUUUCAUGUCCAUGGCAUGGCUGCAGCUUCGUUGUGAGGCUCCACAUCAGUCUUGUUCCAUUCCAGUAAGUGGUGAUUCCUCACCAGGACUUCACCCUCAUGUGUAUGUCCUUGUACUUUGUACUGAGUUGUGCAUGUGAGGG